Molecule: ribosomal RNA, 215 nt
Filed under: uncultured bacterium
Lineage: Bacteria
Description: partial 16S ribosomal RNA
Rfam family: Bacterial small subunit ribosomal RNA
Source: RNAcentral
AAAGCCNGUCUCAGUUCGGAUUGGAGUCUGCAACCCGACUCCAUGAAGCUGGAUUCGCUAGUAAUCGCGCAUCAGCCACGGCGCGGUGAAUACGUUCCCGGGCCUUGUACACACCGCCCGUCAAGCCAUGGAAGCCGGGGGUGCCUGAAGUGCGCUGCCGCAAGGAGCGCCCUAGGGUAAAACCGGUGACUGGGGCUAAGUCGUAACAAGGUAAC